Molecule: ribosomal RNA, 497 nt
Filed under: uncultured bacterium
Lineage: Bacteria
Description: partial 16S ribosomal RNA
Rfam family: Bacterial small subunit ribosomal RNA
Source: RNAcentral
GAUGAACGCUGGCGGCGUGCCUAAUACAUGCAAGUCGAGCGAACAGACGAGGAGCUUGCUCCUCUGACGUUAGCGGCGGACGGGUGAGUAACACGUGGAUAACCUACCUAUAAGACUGGGAUAACUUCGGGAAACCGGAGCUAAUACCGGAUAAUAUAUUUAACCGCAUGGUUCAAUAGUGAAAGACGGUUUUGCUGUCACUUAUAGAUGGAUCCUCGCCGCAUUAGCUAGUUGGUAAGGUAACGGCUUACCAAGGCAACGAUGCGUAGCCGACCUGAGAGGGUGAACGGCCACACUGGAACUGAGACACGGUCCAGACUCCUACGGGAGGCAGCAGUAGGGAAUCUUCCGCAAUGGGCGAAAGCCUGACGGAGCAACGCCGCGUGAGUGAUGAAGGUCUUCGGAUCGUAAAACUCUGUUAUUAGGGAAGAACAAAUGUGUAAGUAACUAUGCACGUCUUGACGGUACCUAAUCAGAAAGCCACGGCUAACUACGUG